UACGUAGGGUGCGAGCGUUAAUCGGAAUUACUGGGCGUAAAGCGUGCGCAGGCGGCUAUUUAAGCUUGCUGUGAAAGCCCCGGGCUUAACCUGGGAACUGCAGUGAGGACUGGAUGGCUGGAGUGUGGCAGAGGGGGGUGGAAUUCCACGUGUAGCAGUGAAAUGCGUAGAGAUGCGGAGGAACACCGAUGGCGAAGGCAGCCCCCUGGGCUAACACUGACGCUCAGGCACGAAAGCGUGGGGAGCAAACAGG
RNAcentral lists this ribosomal RNA (253 nucleotides) under uncultured bacterium. RNAcentral describes it as "partial 16S ribosomal RNA". It matches the Rfam family "Bacterial small subunit ribosomal RNA", at positions 524 to 776 of the family's 1533-position model. The record is from RNAcentral.